UAUUGAGUUGAGAUCAGGAACUGGU
This 25-nucleotide non-coding RNA is filed under the name Mus musculus (house mouse). The record is from RNAcentral. Lineage: Eukaryota; Metazoa; Chordata; Mammalia; Rodentia; Muridae.